Molecule: long non-coding RNA, 86 nt
Filed under: Coturnix japonica (Japanese quail)
Lineage: Eukaryota; Metazoa; Chordata; Aves; Galliformes; Phasianidae
Description: lncRNA (ENSCJPG00005008882.1)
Source: RNAcentral
UCACCUAUACAGAAAUGAAAAGACUGAGAAGCACGGCUGUUUCAUUAGCAGUAAAUGACAUGAGAGGCAACACUGCGAGACCAUAA